AACGAACGCUGGCGGCGUGCUUAACACAUGCAAGUCGAGCGCGAAAGGGGGGGCAACCCCCUGAGUAGAGCGGCGCACGGGUGAGUAACGCGUGGGUAACCUACCCCUGGGCGGGGGAUAACUACUCGAAAGGGUGGCUAAUACCGCUUAAGACCACGGGAUUCACGGAUCCUGAGGCCAAAGGUUGCACCGGCUUGCCGGUGCCGCCACCUGGGGAUGGGCCCGCGUCCGAUUAGCUAGUUGGUGAGGUAACGGCCCACCAAGGCUACGAUCGGUAGCUGGUCUGAGAGGAUGGCCAGCCACACUGGAACUGGAACACGGUCCAGACUCCUACGGGAGGCAGCAGUGAGGAAUAUUGCGCAAUGGGGGAAACCCUGACGCAGCAACGCCGCGUGGGUGAAGAAGGCCUUCGGGUCGUAAAGCCCUUUCGGACGGGACGAACGCUUUCCGGUUCACAGCCGGAAAGUCUGACGGUACCGUAGGAAGAAGCACCGGCUAACUCCGUGCCAGCAGCCGCGGUAA
RNAcentral lists this ribosomal RNA (522 nucleotides) under uncultured Syntrophaceae bacterium. RNAcentral describes it as "bacterial SSU rRNA". It matches the Rfam family "Bacterial small subunit ribosomal RNA", at positions 28 to 523 of the family's 1533-position model. Lineage: Bacteria; Pseudomonadati; Thermodesulfobacteriota; Syntrophia; Syntrophales; Syntrophaceae. The record is from RNAcentral.